RNAcentral lists this ribosomal RNA (499 nucleotides) under uncultured bacterium. RNAcentral describes it as "partial 16S ribosomal RNA". It matches the Rfam family "Bacterial small subunit ribosomal RNA", at positions 30 to 523 of the family's 1533-position model. The record is from RNAcentral.
AUUGGACGCUGCGGCAUGCUUUACACAUGCAAGUCGAACGGUAACAGGGUGCUUGCACCGCUGACGAGUGGCGAACGGGUGAGUAAUGCGUCGGAACGUGCCGAGUAGUGGGGGAUAACGCAGCGAAAGUUGUGCUAAUACCGCAUACGUACUGAGGUAGAAAGUGGGGGACCUUCGGGCCUCACGCUAUUCGAGCGGCCGACGUCUGAUUAGCUAGUAGGUGAGGUAAAGGCUCACCUAGGCGACGAUCAGUAGCGGGUCUGAGAGGAUGAUCCGCCACACUGGGACUGAGACACGGCCCAGACUCCUACGGGAGGCAGCAGUGGGGAAUUUUGGACAAUGGGCGAAAGCCUGAUCCAGCCAUGCCGCGUGUCUGAAGAAGGCCUUCGGGUUGUAAAGGACUUUUGUCAGGGAGGAAAUCCCUAGUGCUAAUAACACUGGGGGAUGACAGUACCUGAAGAAUAAGCACCGGCUAACUACGUGCCAGCCGCCGCGGUAA